This 436-nucleotide ribosomal RNA is filed under the name uncultured bacterium. RNAcentral describes it as "bacterial SSU rRNA". It matches the Rfam family "Bacterial small subunit ribosomal RNA", at positions 43 to 524 of the family's 1533-position model. The record is from RNAcentral.
CAGGCCUAACACAUGCAAGUCGAACGAUGCUUUCGGGCAUAGUGGCGCACGGGUGCGUAACGCGUGGGAAUCUGCCCUUAGGUUCGGAAUAACAGUUAGAAAUGACUGCUAAUACCGGAUGAUGUCGAUAAGACCAAAGAUUUAUCGCCUGAGGAUGAGCCCGCGUAGGAUUAGCUAGUUGGUGUGGUAAAGGCGCACCAAGGCGACGAUCCUUAGCUGGUCUGAGAGGAUGAUCAGCCACACUGGGACUGAGACACGGCCCAGACUCCUACGGGAGGCAGCAGUGGGGAAUAUUGGACAAUGGGCGCAAGCCUGAUCCAGCAAUGCCGCGUGAGUGAUGAAGGCCUUAGGGUUGUAAAGCUCUUUUACCCGGGAUGAUAAUGACAGUACCGGGAGAAUAAGCCCCGGCUAACUCCGUGCCAGCAGCCGCGGUAAU